This 274-nucleotide ribosomal RNA is filed under the name uncultured bacterium. Its description in RNAcentral is "partial 16S ribosomal RNA". It matches the Rfam family "Bacterial small subunit ribosomal RNA", at positions 523 to 796 of the family's 1533-position model. The record is from RNAcentral.
AUACGGGGGGUCCGAACGUUAAUCGGAAUUACUGGGCGUAAAGCGCGCGUAGGCGGUUUGGUCAGUCGGAUGUGAAAGCCCUGGGCUCAACCUGGGAAUGGCAUUCGAUACUGCCUGACUAGAGUAUGGUAGAGGAAAGUGGAAUUCCCGGUGUAGAGGUGAAAUUCGUAGAUAUCGGGAGGAACACCAGAGGCGAAGGCGACUUUCUGGGCCAUUUCUGACGCUAAGGUGCGAAAGCGUGGGUAGCAAACAGGAUUAGAAACCCCGGUAGUCC